AAUCGAUGCGGCGGCCGAGAGACGGGCGGACCGGCGGUAGGAAGGGCGGCGCCGCCACCACCGCAUCAAGCAGGCGCGGAAGAACGCCUAGAUCCCGUCCUCCGGUAAUCUCCUGCCGCCACCGCCUGAUGCAGCAUCCCGAGGAGCAGACAACGAUUCUCAAGGAAGGGUGGGACAAAUAGUUUGAUUUCAGGAGUAUAUGCUCCCAAUACGGAUGCCAUUACCAGCCACUGUAGGACUGAUGCCAUUGUGAGGUAUAAUCCAAGAAGAGGAACUCUGCUUGCAAACACCGUCAAUCAGAUGUUUUCCUCGUUGACAUGGGUAGAGGAAUCAAAAUGGCCGGAAAGGGACCUUCGCAUCCAUCCGUGAUGUAUGGGUUGCCCUUGUAUCCAUCAGAGCACUUGCAACGAUAACCGCGACCAUUGGUGGCAUCGACACAGUAACUGUUGCUACUAACACAAGCGUAGGAAGUUCUGUUCUCUUUUGCUUCCUCGCAUUUUUUCCAUUCAACUGUCCAAUCCAAGACAGUGGGAACCAUCCCCUUGUACGUAUCACUGAAUACUGUGGAGUCGACAUAAGUGGUACUAAAGUUGAAUGCUGAAGUUUCCAUGACUACCAUGUAGUUGC
Molecule: small RNA, 627 nt
Filed under: Oryza sativa Japonica Group (Japanese rice)
Lineage: Eukaryota; Viridiplantae; Streptophyta; Magnoliopsida; Poales; Poaceae
Description: sRNA Os09g0471300
Source: RNAcentral